GCUGUGUGGCGGUCGGAGAUCGACGCCCUGAUGCGGCGUGAAGGCCGGCGGCUGUCCCCCGUACGGUGUCGGGGGCAUGGCC
Molecule: transfer RNA, 82 nt
Filed under: Streptomyces sp. PTY087I2
Lineage: Bacteria; Bacillati; Actinomycetota; Actinomycetes; Kitasatosporales; Streptomycetaceae
Description: tRNA-Ile
Source: RNAcentral